RNAcentral lists this ribosomal RNA (442 nucleotides) under uncultured bacterium. RNAcentral's name for it is "partial 16S ribosomal RNA". It matches the Rfam family "Bacterial small subunit ribosomal RNA", at positions 338 to 795 of the family's 1533-position model. The record is from RNAcentral.
CCUACGGGUGGCAGCAGUAGGGAAUUUUUCACAAUGGGCGAAAGCCUGAUGGAGCAACGCCGCGUGCAGGAUGAAGGCCUUCGGGUUGUAAACUGCUUUUAUAAGCGAGAAAUAUGAUGGUAACUUAUGAAUAAGGAUCGGCUAACUACGUGCCAGCAGCCGCGGUCAUACGUAGGAUCCGAGCAUUAUCCGGAGUGACUGGGUGUAAAGAGUUGCGUAGGUGAGAUAAUAAGUAGCUAGUGAAAUCUGGUGGCUCAACCAUUCAGACUAUUAGCUAAACUGUUAAGCUCGAGACCGUUAGGGGUAACUGGAAUUUCUAGUGUAGGAGUGAAAUCCGUAGAUAUUAGAAGGAACACCAAUAGCGUAGGCAGGUUGCUGGGACGGUUCUGACACUAAGGCACGAAAGCGUAGGGAGCAAACGGGAUUAGAUACCCCUGUAGUC